UACGGAGGGUGCAAGCAUUAAUCGGAUUUAUUGGGCGUAAAGGGCGCGUAGGCGGAGAUAAUUGUCAGAUGUGAAAUCCUGGGGCUCAACCUCAGAACGGCAUUUGAAACGUUAUUUCUAGAGGGUAGGAGGAGAAAACGGAAUUCCACAAGUAGCGGUGAAAUGCGUAGAGAUGUGGAAGAACACCGGUGGCGAAGGCGGUUUUCUAUCUUAUUCCUGACGCUGAGGCGCGAAAGCAAGGGGAUCAAACAGG
This 253-nucleotide ribosomal RNA is filed under the name uncultured bacterium. RNAcentral's name for it is "partial 16S ribosomal RNA". It matches the Rfam family "Bacterial small subunit ribosomal RNA", at positions 524 to 776 of the family's 1533-position model. The record is from RNAcentral.